RNAcentral lists this transfer RNA (90 nucleotides) under Pseudoxanthomonas indica. RNAcentral's name for it is "tRNA-Ala". The record is from RNAcentral. Lineage: Bacteria; Pseudomonadati; Pseudomonadota; Gammaproteobacteria; Lysobacterales; Lysobacteraceae.
AAACGCGUCGACGAAGGCCUCGUGCGCCCAGUGUCCCUUGCGCGGACGCUCGAAUUCCCAAUGCGCGUUCCAGCGACCCGGCACGUUUAC